CAGACCGCAGCUCUGGACACCGCGUUGGCGACGUAGACGACUUCGCAAAGGCUGCGAGUGCAUUGUCUGUAAAAUCGGUUCACAAGAGGCUUUACGGCGUGCGCGCACCCACGACGCGAGUGGAACGGACGACACAGUCACACGCGAGCGCACGCGGGCAACCUCCAUCGUCAUCGUUUCCUAAGUCGAAGGCGAGGACCGCGCCACCUCUGCCCCCCCCUCCCCCUCACCCGCCUCCUGUCCCUGUGGGUUUAUGCAGAGUACAGCGGCCCCCUCUCCCUCUCACACGCAGACGCCAGGCAAACGGGUCAUCGCACUCGUCGCUUCGCUUCACAGGUUCGGCAGCGCUACGCCCGAGCUCUGCUCACCCCCGACUCGCAUCGCGUUGCCCGUGCCGCUAUAUUGUUUGACCUCGCUUGCUGAAGGUUUGCCUGUGCGGCGGCGGCUGUGGGGCGAGCACGAGCUCACGAGAACGAAAGACGCCAUCGAGCAGCGGCAGCAACGGGCGACGACGGCAGGCACGAAACGAACGCUGCCACCUCGCCGCACGGUUGUUGGUCCGCUACGUCUGCUGUCGUUGCACGUAUCCGCAACGGCUGGCCGCAGCGCUGGCCUUCUGCGUAGGUUCGCUGCUACUACUAUGUACGAUCGCGUUGGCAUUGCCAGAGAGCGAACCCUCAACUCUGGAAGAAAUCGAGCCGUAUACUCACGUAGUCUACUGCGGGUCUCUGAAAGAAGGUUGUGAGCGCACGCUGAGGUCCGGGCCCAGAGGAGAGCUCUCGUCGUGACUUUGUCGAGCACGAAGCGUGAGAGGCGGCCUACAGACGCACUCAGCGGGUCGCCGCCCGCUGCGCAGAGGUGGCUGAGGCGUUUCGCACGGCCUCUUUUUGUGCCAGGGGCUCAGGGUGAGGCGUCGGGGGGCCUCAAUGAGAAGCAAAGUGGCCGGGGGCGCUGUGCCCAAGGCGCAGGAGGAGGGCGUGGCUGUCUCGGCCGCCGUGCCAUCAGCACCGCGGUCGUCGGUCAACAAGCGUGGCCGCCUCACUCACCACGGCAGCGUUGGCGGUGCUCUCACAGGUGUGCAGAAGGGCACCGCACCACCGCUGUCGGCGAGGCUCUAUGAGGACCCCUGCACAGAGGCGCUCGACCGGCGCAACAGUUCGCCGGCGGCUCCCCACGCACGGACGUCGAACGCGACGCAUGCGCGUCCUUCCAGCUCCGUGGUUCCGGGCCGGAAGACCGCUGCUGCAGCAAUGAGGCAACCACCCCCGUCCCUCAGCGCAGCAGCACAGCCGUUGGGCAACGCUGCCGCCGUGGAGGAGGCAGUGGCGUGCUCAACGGAUGAGCCAUCCACGGGCCCGUCUGCGGUCGGUUGUGCUGUCCUCAGUGAAGCAGUCAAAAGUCGCAUGAGCACCACCCACCCUGCCUUAAGACUCCCCAGCGCCGGUGUUUUCGCAGAGUCUCCAGCGGCGGCAGCGGCGCGACGGGCCUCCAGUUCGUCGACUGCGGCGCCAGUGAGACAUGCUGAGGUGUUGUGUGUCGCGCUGCCGGAAAUGCCCCUCCCGCAAACACCGCAAAGGGUAUCUGCUGCCGGUGGUGGACGGCUGGAGCUGCGCAUGCGAGGGCUGGUGGCACUUCCCUGCCUGCACCUGUCCGCAGCACCUAAGUCACCGUCGCUGGAUGCGAGGCACGAGUCGACUACGUCGUCGUCCGUUCACGGAAGCGGCGAUGUCGCGGCAGGGCGUCUGCACGCCGUCAGUUUUCGGCAGAACGCCAUCAGCAGCCUCUCUACGCAGUCUGUUCGCGCCAUGUCGACUUCGCAAGCCUCACUAAUCGUGCCUCGCAGCUCCCCUCUGCAAUGCUACGCGCAUGUGUCCUCGCUUGACCUCACGCACAACGCGCUUACAUCGAUUGCCGGGAUCGAUGCCCUGAGGUGCCUGCGCUCGCUGCGCCUCGCGUUCAACAGACUGACUUCGCUGGCGCCGCUCUGGGCGUCGCGGUACGUAGCGCAGCUCGACGUGCUCGAUGUGAGCUCGAAUGCGCUGACGGAGCUGCUCUCCGCAGAGGAUGUGCACGCCUUGAAAAGGCACCAGAUUCGCAUCGUCACGCACCCCACGCAGGCGCACAGCGCCGCCCAUGGGUGCCCCAACGCCAAGUGUGGCGUGUACAAGGCGAUGGGUCUGCGGGUUCUGUACGCGUCCGACAACAAAUUUUGCGAAGUGCCGAGUGCGAUCUACACCUUCACGCAGCUGACAGAUCUGCGGCUGAGCAAAAACGUAAUCGAGAGUGUGCCGGACGGCUUUCCGGUGCGGGCAUGUCUGCCGCAGCUGACGCGUUUAGAUUUGAGCAUGAACAAGCUCCCUGCUGCCAUGGUCGAGGCCGUGACAGCGCGCGCCGAAGAGGUGGCUGAGUCGCCGCUCCAUCGUCGCCGCACAUCCACCACAUCACCGUCAUUUGCACGAGUAAAAGGCUACCGCCGCGCUUCGGCUCACCGUUCUCACGGCGCCACCGAUCCCUCGGCAGGUGCAAAGACUGCCGCCCUUUCUUCGUCAAUCUCGAGUGCAUUGAAGGCCGGGGAAGAUGCCUCAUCGGAGGAGGCAGGGAGUGGCGCUGUGCACGGCGCCGAGUGCAGUCGUGAUAUCCAGUCUCGUGUGCCAGGCGGAGCCAAAGAAAAUGGCAGAGCGGCUGCGGAGGAGGGUGAUGGCGUUUCUGCCGUCAAUGGCUCCGGACAGCGCCGCUCAUCGGCCUCUGCGGCAAAGGUGGCCGAUGACGCGGAGUCGAACGGAAGUCGCGGCACUCUGCUCCAGCUGAAGGCAGAUGCGGCGGUCUCACCUCAGCCGCCGACCAAAACGCGUCAUGAGAGCGCCUCGGCCACAGCGUCCAGCCCGUCCACGCGGAAGGCGACCGCCUCUCUGCCGCCCACGGCGCCCGCCAUCGCUACCGUAUCGGCUCAGAAGUCGCAGCAGCAAGACGCCGUCCAAUGCGUAGCGGAGAAUGUCUACAGUAUAGAUCUCAGUCUGUGGGCGGCGGUGGUGCGUCGACGGCUUGAGGAGGUGCUGCGGAGAUCGCCUGACAGCGACGCGAGUGGCGCACCGGGAGCUGCGUCAACGUUCUCCAUGCACGAGCUGCUGGUGUCCCUCUCCGACACCCUCGGCGGAAACAGCGGCGGCGGUGGCGCGACUGCGCUGCCGCGCUAUCGACGCCGUCCGGCGGCCACGGCCCGUACGAUGGCGGCCCUUACGCAGUGUCUGCCGUCGUGCUCCCUGUCCUACAGCGAAGAGGCCCAAGUGCGUCGCCCGCCUCUUCUGCUGCUCACCGGCAUAUCCGCUGCCGUGGCGGCAGACGAGAGCGAGCUGCUCCUCUACGAGGUGUUGGCCCUUCACAUUGUGCACAACUGCCUGUGCACGGCAAAGAGUGCCGCCGGUGGGGUGAGCCCGCCAUACGCAGCAUCCACGGCCUCCUCUCGGGCGCUUAAUUCGGCUGAACUGAUAUUGCAGCAAGCGUGCAAAUACGAGAACAGCAGCGAGCCACUCCUCCGCGCCGAAGCGCCGGCGGCCGAUCGCGCGAGCGGCGGUGAACUGCCUCCGCUACGGCCAGGUAGCCCAGGAAGCGGUCGAGGUGGCGGCACUGUGCGGCAGUUGAAUUUCGCUGUGCCGUUGCAAACCGUUCACGUAAUUGCUUGCACAGACACUGCAGCCACCCCUCACAGCUCCGUGUCGGCCUUGUGGGCAUAUCUCACCUGGCGGCAGCGGUGGGAAGCCGCCGUGUCUUGCCGCCGGCUCCCAAACAAGAGCGACUACAUCUGUGAGCUUGGGAUGCAGGCUGCAGAUAAGCAUGCGUCGCACCCGCUGUCAUCUGACGCUCCGUCCGUGACGUCGGAAGCGAAUGGUAGCGGCACGCACGCGGCCCGGCAUUGUGCGGCAGUGGUGCCCCUUUAUCCCUUCGCUGCGAACUCCCCCGUCCCGCGCGCACGGGAGGAGCACUGGUUGCACGAGUACAGACCCGCGUCGUACUGCGUAGUGCCGCCUGCGUGGGAACUCCUCUACGAUCUUCUCCUCCGCCCAUCCGCGCUGGAAAAGACAUCGCUGAAGCGGCCGCAUGUACCUGCCGUUCCGCCACUGUUGGCCGGGGUGGGCAGUCGCGUGCAACACUUGCGUGGCACACCCAUGUCUCUCGCAUGCGUGCUGCUCUGCGCCGUCGACUAUUCGGGCUGUGCUGGGGCAUCGCCAAUGUGUGCAUCUCCGACAUCACCGGUGCUGCGCUGGCCAACGCCGGGUACUGGAGGCCCUGCCGCUAGCGGCGCGGGAAACGGCACUUGCGCCAUCACCGCCUCCCACGUCCCGUGUGAGGGCGUCAUUCGCCGCGCUCUCCAGUGGCGCCAACACAGCCAGCAGCUGUGGAGUCAUGUGGAGAGGGAAGCCAACAUUGUCGCUGCGGAGCAGGUGACGUCGUGCAGCAUGCCGCUGUACAGCGCUGAAGAGGUACUCCAGAGCCGGCAGGCGGCCGUUGCGGCACUGAGCUCUCCGGGGGCACACGAUACUCGCCUGCGGUGCGGGCUGUUCGGGCAGAACGGCGUCUCAGAGGAGGCAGUCGAAAGCGCCGCCGCUUCUGAGGAGGGAGCGUCUCAGCCGCAGUGUCGCAGUCUUGCCUUAGCAAAACCGCUAUCGCAACUGCUUAGGUCCGCCUCGAACACUGCGGCAUCCUGUUCCGCAGAGCCCUGUGAGAGCAAGACCGCAACCGCCACAGAUACGACCAUGCGGAGCCGCGAGAUUGAAGGGUGCAGCACACCCGCAGUGGCGGUUGGUGCUGAUGGCGGGAGCGCGCCAGCUGCGGCAGUGGAUGCUGUGGGCGGCGAGGCAGAUGAGCACGGCGGCAUUGAAGGACAAGACGGUGCUGACGCAGCCGCGAGAUUCAACGAGGUGCGCGAUGACAACACGGCUGGCAGCGCGGUGUCGGCGACGGCGACAGCAGCGCAGACCCCCGAAUUGCCCGCGGAGGAUGCCUGGUGGCUCUGUGAGAACUGACGAAUCUGUGCCAGUGUAAGGUAGCCGUUAUCAUUAAGCACGAGCACAUGGGUGCCUGAGCCUGCCAUUCGCAAUCAAAGUCAGCGCGAGCAUCGGUGCUUGUGUGAAGUCGGGUCGUUGGCGUCGUUUGCCGCGGCCAACCCGUGUGCAUGCCACCGGCACCUUCGUUGUCUGGGAGUUCAUGGAAGGGCAGACGUGCACAUCAAUUUCAGGGCGCCCACCCUCCCGCAGGUGGUGCACUAAAGCGACGUGGUUUAUCGCCGUGUUCGUCCGUGCCCCUCAAAGCACGACUGCCUUGUGUCUUCUGGUGCACGGUGUCCCGGCUACCUUCGCGGCGGCGAAGCGUCUCGUGCUCGCGUAUGUGGGCAUGCACGCCGGACUGCCUGGGCACCCGCUCCAUGCGGGGUCGCCGUCAGUGCACGUCCCUUGCAUUUUUCCGUCACUCUUUUCUCUCUUCAGCCUCUGUGCAUGCGUACCUCUCUCGCAACGGACGGCGUGGCGGCUGCUCUAAUGUUUAUGCCUCCACCCAACUGCACAGUGAAACGUACAUGUUUUGUGAGUGAGUCAGUUUAGCAUAGUGAAGAAGACGUGUCAGGUGCAGUGCCCGCCGUCCAUCUUCC
RNAcentral lists this unclassified non-coding RNA (5641 nucleotides) under Leishmania donovani. RNAcentral describes it as "gene:LdHU3.12.0220(CDS-product:leucine-rich_repea t_protein_putative)". Lineage: Eukaryota; Euglenozoa; Kinetoplastea; Trypanosomatida; Trypanosomatidae. The record is from RNAcentral.